RNAcentral lists this transfer RNA (69 nucleotides) under Lepidochelys kempii (Atlantic ridley). Its description in RNAcentral is "tRNA-Phe". RNAcentral also lists the same sequence under 1 other name. Lineage: Eukaryota; Metazoa; Chordata; Testudines; Cheloniidae. The record is from RNAcentral.
GUUAUUGUAGCUUAUUACAAAGCACGGCACUGAAGAUGCCAAGAUGGGUAAAUACCUACCCCAAAAACA